RNAcentral lists this ribosomal RNA (84 nucleotides) under Paenibacillus amylolyticus. The record is from RNAcentral. Lineage: Bacteria; Bacillati; Bacillota; Bacilli; Caryophanales; Paenibacillaceae.
UUUGGUGGCGAUGGCGGAGGGGUUCCACACGUACCCAUCCCGAACACGACCGUUAAGCCCUCUAGCGCCGAUGGUACUUGGACC